RNAcentral lists this ribosomal RNA (427 nucleotides) under uncultured prokaryote. RNAcentral describes it as "bacterial SSU rRNA". It matches the Rfam family "Bacterial small subunit ribosomal RNA", at positions 355 to 796 of the family's 1533-position model. The record is from RNAcentral.
UGGGGAAUUUUCCGCAAUGGGCGAAAGCCUGACGGAGCAAGACCGCGUGGGGGAGGAAGGCCUUUGGGUUGUAAACCUCUUUUCUCAGGGAAGAAGACAGUGACGGUACCUGAGGAAUCAGCCCCGGCUAACUCCGUGCCAGCAGCCGCGGUAAUACGGAGGAGGCAAGCGUUAUCCGGAAUUAUUGGGCGUAAAGCGUCCGCAGGUGGUUGUUCAAGUCCGCUGUCAAAGACCGGGGCUUAACCCUGGAGAGGCAGUAGAAACUGAACAACUAGAGGUCGGUAGGGGUAGAGGGAAUUCCCAGUGUAGCGGUGAAAUGCGUAGAGAUUGGGAAGAACACCAGUGGCGAAAGCGCUCUACUGGGCCGACACUGACACUCAGGGACGAAAGCUAGGGGAGCGAAUGGGAUUAGAUACCCGCGUAGUCC